This is an RNA transcript of Panicum virgatum (switchgrass), 3090 nucleotides long. It is a transcript of the gene named endonuclease MutS2-like, with no coding region annotated. NCBI's taxonomy places the organism in Eukaryota, Viridiplantae, Streptophyta, Magnoliopsida, Poales, Poaceae. The transcript is spliced from 20 exons. The record is from RefSeq and is a predicted model, not a curated record.
CCGCCCGGUCCUAUCCAAAAACGGCGGGCAACUUCCUCCUCCCGCUUCGCUUCCUCCCCAGCCCCCAUCACCGGCAAGGCUGCAACCUCCUGCCCUCGUCCUGAUGCUUCGCCUCUCCACCACCGGCCUCACCUCACCUCUCCUCCCCACGCCCGCCCCCGCCGUCCGGCUCCGCCCGCGCCCCCUCAUCCGCCUCCGCCUCCGCGCCCUCGCCGCCGGCGCUGCCUCCUCGCUCUCGCCGUCCGCCCGCAGCCUCCGCCUCCUCGAGUGGGGCAAGGUAUGCGACGCCGUCGCCUCCUUCGCCGGCACCGCCCACGGCCGCGACGCCACCAAGAAACAACUGUGGGAGGUGGAGGGCGUGAGCUAUGAGCAGAGCCAGAGGCUGCUCCAGGAGACGGAGGUGGCAGUGUGGCUGCUUGACAACGCCGGUGGGGCGAUGGAUUUCUCUGGGCUGGAUACAGUUGCGAUAGAGUCGGCAAUACAUUGUGUUUCUGGAGGUGCCGUGAUAAAAGGCCUGGAAGCAGUGGCAGUUGCUAGCCUGAUGCUGUUUGUUGAAUCCUUGCAAGUAAAUAUUAAAGCUGCCAUGAAGCUGGAUGAAGGCUCGUGUAGUCGAUUAACAACUCUUACAGAAACAAUUUUAGAUGCUGCCAUUAACAAGUCACUUGUGAAAUCCAUACAAGAUAUCGUUGAUGAUGAUGGUUCUGUAAAAGAUACUGCGAGCCCUGAGCUAAGGCGGCAUAGAGAGCGAGUUCAGCUCCUAGAGAGCAGGUUAUACCAGCUUAUGGACAAGUUGAUGCGCAAUGUUGAUAAUGAAGCUUCCUUGUCGGAAGUAUGCAUUGUAAAUGGAAGAUGUUGUAUUAGAACAACCGGGGAUAAGUCUUCGACUUUUGAUGGGUUACUGCUCUCCAGCGGAUCAGAUGCCGGAAGUAUGAUAGAACCAAUUGCUGCUGUUCCGUUGAACGAUGAGUUGCAGGAAUCAAGAGCUCUAGUGGCUAAAGCUGAACUGGAUGUCUUAUCAAAACUUACAGAUAAGAUUCUUCUUGAACUUGAUAGCAUUCAAAGUUCGCUGCAGGAAACAAUCAAACUUGAUAAGGUCACAGCUCGUGCAAAAUACAGUAUAGCAUAUGAUGGCACAUUUCCUGACCUGUACUUGUCGAACUUUGAGAACGAAACUGUUACUAGUGCUACAGGUGGGUCUGCCAAGGAAACUUCCUCAGCUCACCCCACUAAAAAGGCAUGGAAACUGUACAUGCCAAAUGCAUACCAUCCACUACUUCUCCAGAAAUACCAGGAAAAUCUCGACCGUGCGAAAAGGGAUGUUGCUAGUGCCGCAGCGGAGAUUCGGAGGAGGAGGAUAUACGGGCAAGAUAUUGCAGAAGAUCAACUGGCAUCAGACCUCGAUUCUAUGAAACUUAGGGUUUCCCAGCUGGAGAAAGACCAGCCAGUACCAGUAGAUUUUAUGAUUGGUGAAGAAACUACGGUUUUGGUCAUAACUGGCCCAAAUACAGGGGGUAAAACAAUCAGCUUAAAGACUGUUGGUCUGGCAUCGUUAAUGGCUAAGAUAGGUCUGUACAUUCUAGCUUCUGAACCAGUAAAAAUCCCAUGGUUCAACGCUGUUUAUGCUGACAUUGGAGACGAGCAAUCUUUGACCCAGUCACUCUCUACAUUUUCUGGGCAUCUGAAGCAGAUUGGUGCCAUUCGCGCAGAGUCAACUUCAGAGUCUUUGGUCCUUCUGGAUGAGGUAGGUGCUGGGACAAACCCACUUGAAGGAGCAGCUUUGGGGAUGUCUCUUUUGGAAUCUUUUGCUGAAGUUGGCUCCUUUCUGACAUUAGCAACAACUCAUCAUGGAGAACUUAAAACACUGAAAUACAGCAAUAACUCAUUUGAGAAUGCAUGCGUGGAAUUUGAUGAGGAGAAUUUAAAGCCCACCUUCAAAAUAUUAUGGGGAAUACCAGGCCGCUCAAAUGCAAUAAAUAUUGCUGAAAGGCUGGGUUUGCCCUCGGAUAUAGUGGAAAGCUCUAGGCGUUUACUUGGAACAGCUGGUGCAGAGAUAAAUGCUUUGAUAAUGGACAUGGAAAGAUUCAAACAAGAUUAUCAACAAGAUCUUCAGAAGGCACAACACCUUCUUAUUGUUGUGUCUUCUUCAGAGGUGGAACUUCUUAAGUCAAAUGAUAUCUUCUGCCCAUUAUUGAUGCUGUCUCAGGCAGUCCAAGGAGCUUCAUAAUAACUUGGAACUGGCACAAAGGAACAUUGUAGACCACACUUCCGCUCAGAGAAAACGGAAGGCGAGAGUAAUUUCAGAGUAUGCAGUUAUGGCCCGUUCUAUCAUUCGUAAGAAGUUUCAGCAGUUCCAGGAAUCCGCAAUAGCUGAAAGAGUAAAAGAAGAAGAGAAGGCUGCAGACAACGCCAAAUCUGAGAGAGUGAAGGAUCACAUGCCAACAAGUACUGCUGCCAUGGGAAAGGCACAUAAUACAGAUACCGACUUGGCCACAUCAGCUGACGAUGAAGAAGAUGGAAUUCCGGAAGUUGGAGAUUCAGUUUAUGUUCCUAAGCUCAAGAACCAAGCUACUGUAGUCAAAAUAGAUUUAUCCAAAAAUGAAGUGCAAGUUCAAGCCGGUAUGAUGAAGCUCAAACUAAAGCUGCAAGAUGUAAAGGUUCAGAAGUGGAAAGUAUCAAGAUAGCACAACUACACCAGUCCUGUGCUAGCGAGAUUCAGAUAAGUCGUAAGUGCAUGUGCUGUCUCAAUUCAGUUCCUAACAUUUCAUUAGCUACAACCUUUCAAAUGAAAAUGUUGACCACGAUUUGCAUGUAGCUUUGCUUCUUGGCAAACUAGCAGUUGUAAAAAAAACAUGAACACAGUUGCUGAACAGCUUCUGAGUUAUGAUUAUCAUAUGGGUAUGCAAUAUCUUAUCAUUAAGUACAAUUGUAGGUCAUUAGAAUGCUUCACACGGCACUCAAGUCUCAAAUGGUUUGUGGGGCGUGGAAAUUGCCGAAUCGUCCCCAUUGUAGAGAUAGUCUUUCUGAGCAGCACAUGAACUUGUGCCUUGUGUAGUUAUGUUCAAUCAUUUUUAUAGAAAUUGCUAUCAGUCA